UACGGGAGGAGCAGUGGGGAAUAUUGCACAAUGGGCGCAAGCCUGAUGCAGCCAUGCCGCGUGUAUGAAAAAGGCCUUCGGGUUGUAAAGUACUUUCAGUCGUGAGGAAGGUGUUAAGGUUAAUAACCUUAGCAAUUGACGUUAGCGACAGAAGAAGCACCGGCUAACUCCGUGCCAGCAGCCGCGGUAAUACGGAGGGUGCGAGCGUUAAUCGGAAUUACUGGGCGUAAAGGGCACGCAGGCGGUUAAUUAAGUUGGAUGUGAAAUCCCCGGGCUUAACCUGGGAAUGGCAUUCAAGACUGGUUAGCUAGAGUCUUGUAGAGGGGGUAGAAUUCCAUGUGUGCGGUGAAUGCGUAGAGAUGUGGAGGAAUACCGGUGGCGAAGGCGGCCCCUGGACAAAGACUGACGCUCAUGUGCGAAAGCGUGGGGAGCAAACAGGGAUUAGAUACC
Molecule: ribosomal RNA, 450 nt
Filed under: uncultured bacterium
Lineage: Bacteria
Description: bacterial SSU rRNA
Rfam family: Bacterial small subunit ribosomal RNA
Source: RNAcentral